RNAcentral lists this ribosomal RNA (1412 nucleotides) under Leuconostoc citreum. RNAcentral describes it as "bacterial SSU rRNA". It matches the Rfam family "Bacterial small subunit ribosomal RNA". The record is from RNAcentral. Lineage: Bacteria; Bacillati; Bacillota; Bacilli; Lactobacillales; Lactobacillaceae.
AGGUGCUUGCACCUUUCAAGCGAGUGGCGAACGGGUGAGUAACACGUGGAUAACCUGCCUCAAGGCUGGGGAUAACAUUUGGAAACAGAUGCUAAUACCGAAUAAAACUUAGUAUCGCAUGAUAUAAAGUUAAAAGGCGCUACGGCGUCACCUAGAGAUGGAUCCGCGGUGCAUUAGUUAGUUGGUGGGGUAAAGGCUUACCAAGACAAUGAUGCAUAGCCGAGUUGAGAGACUGAUCGGCCACAUUGGGACUGAGACACGGCCCAAACUCCUACGGGAGGCUGCAGUAGGGAAUCUUCCACAAUGGGCGCAAGCCUGAUGGAGCAACGCCGCGUGUGUGAUGAAGGCUUUCGGGUCGUAAAGCACUGUUGUAUGGGAAGAAAUGCUAAAAUAGGGAAUGAUUUUAGUUUGACGGUACCAUACCAGAAAGGGACGGCUAAAUACGUGCCAGCAGCCGCGGUAAUACGUAUGUCCCGAGCGUUAUCCGGAUUUAUUGGGCGUAAAGCGAGCGCAGACGGUUGAUUAAGUCUGAUGUGAAAGCCCGGAGCUCAACUCCGGAAUGGCAUUGGAAACUGGUUAACUUGAGUGUUGUAGAGGUAAGUGGAACUCCAUGUGUAGCGGUGGAAUGCGUAGAUAUAUGGAAGAACACCAGUGGCGAAGGCGGCUUACUGGACAACAACUGACGUUGAGGCUCGAAAGUGUGGGUAGCAAACAGGAUUAGAUACCCUGGUAGUCCACACCGUAAACGAUGAAUACUAGGUGUUAGGAGGUUUCCGCCUCUUAGUGCCGAAGCUAACGCAUUAAGUAUUCCGCCUGGGGAGUACGACCGCAAGGUUGAAACUCAAAGGAAUUGACGGGGACCCGCACAAGCGGUGGAGCAUGUGGUUUAAUUCGAAGCAACGCGAAGAACCUUACCAGGUCUUGACAUCCUUUGAAGCUUUUAGAGAUAGAAGUGUUCUCUUCGGAGACAAAGUGACAGGUGGUGCAUGGUCGUCGUCAGCUCGUGUCGUGAGAUGUUGGGUUAAGUCCCGCAACGAGCGCAACCCUUAUUGUUAGUUGCCAGCAUUCAGUUGGGCACUCUAGCGAGACUGCCGGUGACAAACCGGAGGAAGGCGGGGACGACGUCAGAUCAUCAUGCCCCUUAUGACCUGGGCUACACACGUGCUACAAUGGCGUAUACAACGAGUUGCCAACCUGCGAAGGUGAGCUAAUCUCUUAAAGUACGUCUCAGUUCGGACUGCAGUCUGCAACUCGACUGCACGAAGUCGGAAUCGCUAGUAAUCGCGGAUCAGCACGCCGCGGUGAAUACGUUCCCGGGUCUUGUACACACCGCCCGUCACACCAUGGGAGUUUGUAAUGCCCAAAGCCGGUGGCCUAACCUUCGGGAGGGAGCCGUCUAAGCAGACAGAGGG